ACUCCUGCGGGAGGCAGCAGUGGGGAAUUUUGGACAAUGGGCGAAAGCCUGAUCCAGCAAUGCCGCGUGAGUGAAGAAGGCCUUCGGGUUGUAAAGCUCUUUUGUCAGGGAAGAAACGGUGAGAGCUAAUAUCUUUUGCUAAUGACGGUACCUGAAGAAUAAGCACCGGCUAACUACGUGCCAGCAGCCGCGGUAAUACGUAGGGUGCAAGCGUUAAUCGGAAUUACUGGGCGUAAAGCGUGCGCAGGCGGUUUUGUAAGUCUGAUGUGAAAUCCCCGGGCUCAACCUGGGAAUUGCAUUGGAGACUGCAAGGCUAGAAUCUGGCAGAGGGGGGUAGAAUUCCACGUGUAGCAGUGAAAUGCGUAGAUAUGUGGAGGAACACCGAUGGCGAAGGCAGCCCCCUGGGUCAAGAUUGACGCUCAUGCACGAAAGCGUGGGGAGCAAACAGGAUUAGAUACCCCUGUAGUCCCAU
This 472-nucleotide ribosomal RNA is filed under the name uncultured organism. RNAcentral describes it as "partial 16S ribosomal RNA". It matches the Rfam family "Bacterial small subunit ribosomal RNA", at positions 335 to 798 of the family's 1533-position model. The record is from RNAcentral.